Triticum aestivum (bread wheat) is the source of this 142-nucleotide non-coding RNA. Lineage: Eukaryota; Viridiplantae; Streptophyta; Magnoliopsida; Poales; Poaceae. The record is from Rfam.
CAUCUACUCCCUUCGUCCGGAAAUACUUGUCAUCAAAAUAGAUAAAAAGAGAUGUAUCUAGUACUUAAAAGGAGAUAAGUACUAGAUAUAUCUCUUUUUAUCCAUUUUGAUGACAAGUAUUUUCGGACGGAGGAAGUACUAG